CACGUAGGCGGAUCUUUAAGUCAGGGGUGAAAUCCCAAGGCUCAACCUUGGAACUGCCUUUGAUACUGAGAGCCUUGAGUUCGGGAGAGGUGAGUGGAACUGCGAGUGUAGAGGUGAAAUUCGUAGAUAUUCGCAAGAACACCAGUGGCGAAGGCGGCUCACUGGCCCGAUACUGACGCUGAGGUGCGAAAGCGUGGGAGCAAACA
RNAcentral lists this ribosomal RNA (206 nucleotides) under uncultured bacterium. RNAcentral's name for it is "partial 16S ribosomal RNA". It matches the Rfam family "Bacterial small subunit ribosomal RNA", at positions 568 to 774 of the family's 1533-position model. The record is from RNAcentral.